AAGGUAGCAUAAUCAUUUGCCUCUUAAUUGGUGGGUAGUAUGAAUGGACACACGCAAGCGCUGCUGUCUCAUUAAUAUAAAUAAAAAUUAACCUUCAAGUGAAGAGACUUGAAUAAAAUAAAAAGACAAAAAGACCCUAUGGAGCUUUAUUCAACCGCCCUGCAAUCUAAUAUUUAUAAAAUUUACUACAGCGCUAAUGAAUUCAGUUGGGGCGACUAAGGAAAACAAUAAAUCUUCCUUCACAUAAAGAAAAUAAUUCUCUCAAAGAUCCGCUAUGCGAAUACAGAUCCAGCUACCCUAGGGAUAACAGGCUAAUUCUUCUCGAGAGCCCAAAUUGACAGAAGAGAUUGGCACCUCG
This 358-nucleotide ribosomal RNA is filed under the name Laonice cf. antarctica MB. Its description in RNAcentral is "partial 16S ribosomal RNA". It matches the Rfam family "Bacterial large subunit ribosomal RNA", at positions 1953 to 2528 of the family's 2925-position model. Lineage: Eukaryota; Metazoa; Annelida; Polychaeta; Spionida; Spionidae. The record is from RNAcentral.